RNAcentral lists this ribosomal RNA (550 nucleotides) under uncultured bacterium. RNAcentral describes it as "bacterial SSU rRNA". It matches the Rfam family "Bacterial small subunit ribosomal RNA", at positions 355 to 896 of the family's 1533-position model. The record is from RNAcentral.
UGGGGAAUUUUGGACAAUGGGGGCAACCCUGAUCCAGCCAUGCCGCGUGCGGGAAGAAGGCCUUCGGGUUGUAAACCGCUUUUGUCCGGGAAGAAAAGAUCUCUCCUAAUACGGGAGGUUCUUGACGGUACUGGAAGAAUAAGCACCGGCUAACUACGUGCCAGCAGCCGCGGUAAUACGUAGGGUGCGAGCGUUAAUCGGAAUUACUGGGCGUAAAGCGUGCGCAGGCGGUUCGGUAAGUUGGAUGUGAAAGCUUCCGGCUCAACUGGGAGAGGUCGUUCAAUACUACCGGACUUGAGAGUGGUAGAGGGAGGUGGAAUUCCCGGUGUAGUGGUGAAAUGCGUAGAUAUCGGGAGGAACACCAGUGGCGAAAGCGGCCUCCUGGACCAUUUCUGACGCUCAGACGCGAAAGCUAGGGGAGCAAACGGGAUUAGAGACCCCGGUAGUCCUAGCUGUAAACGAUGUGAACUUGGCGUCGGUGGUGUAAAAACCAUCGGUGCCGAAGCCAACGCGAUAAGUUCACCGCCUGGGGACUACGGCCGCAAGGUUA